Nicotiana tabacum (common tobacco) is the source of this 822-nucleotide long non-coding RNA. RefSeq lists it as uncharacterized. NCBI's taxonomy places the organism in Eukaryota, Viridiplantae, Streptophyta, Magnoliopsida, Solanales, Solanaceae. The record is from RefSeq and is a predicted model, not a curated record.
GGGUGUGGCUAUUUAAUUUAAUUGUUCUGCAUUUUUUUCCUUUUACUGCUUUCGGAUUGUUUGUGGUACUUAACCAACUGGAAAUCAGCUGGCAAUAAGCAUUUUCCCUUAGAGAGCUCAGGUUUUAAGCGUAAAAAAUGGAUCAAUUGAAGCCGCUGAACUAGGGAUGUGCAUUUGGAUCCAAUGCGCUCAAUUCGGACUUUCGAAUUUCGGAUAUGGAUUAUAUUUUUUAAAAUUUCGGAUAUCCGAAUCGAAUUCGGAUUGGUAUCGAUCCGAAAUACAAAAUCCGGAAUUAUUAGGAUAUGUAUUUUUAAACUUUAAUUUUAGGGUUAGGUCUUAUCUCAUCGAGACUCUCUGUCUCUAAGUUUUGUGCAGAGAGACUGCUGCUCUGUUCCGCCUCUCUUCUCUGUGUUCUGACUAUUGGCGGCGACUAGAUGACGCCUCUUCCUUUAUCGACUCGAAUAAUCCUAUGAAUUCAGCUUGCCUAACCUUGCAGCAGAGAUCUUUUGAAUGAAUGAAAUGAUGCGUGGUCAGAGAGGAUGGAGGGAGCUGGCUGCGUUAGCGGAUAAUUUUGCAAUAGCCUUAAUAGUAUGUAUAAUCCGAUCCGAUAUUCCGAGAUAUUUAUUCGAUCCAAAUUUUAAAAUCUGAUCCGAUGUUAAUUCGGAUUGGAUUCGGAUUGCAUUUUAUAGAAUCCGAAAUCUAAUUUUCAAUUCGAAUAUGUUAAAUCCAAUCCGAUCCAUGAGCAACCCUACUUUGAACUCAUGGACAAUACCAUUUUGGUGAUUGGUUGACUAUAUAUUAGUUAAUAAUCUGUUUCUCGUA